UUUUAACGGAGAGUUUGAUCCUGGCUCAGGACGAACGCUGGCGGCGUGCUUAACACAUGCAAGUCGAACGCUGAAGCUGGGUGCUUGCACCUGGUGGAUGAGUGGCGAACGGGUGAGUAAUACGUGAGUGACCUUCCUUGGACUCUGGGAUAAGCCCGGGAAACUGGGUCUAAUACCGGAUACGACCAGUCCUCGCAUGGGGUGCUGGUGGAAAGGGUUUGUACUGGUUCUUGAUGGGCUCACGUCCUAUCAGCUUGUUGGUGAGGUAAUGGCUUACCAAGGCGACGACGGGUAGCCGGCCUGAGAGGGUGACCGGCCACACUGGGACUGAGACACGGCCCAGACUCCUACGGGAGGCAGCAGUGGGGAAUAUUGCACAAUGGGCGCAAGCCUGAUGCAGCGACGCCGCGUGGGGGAUGACGGCCUUCGGGUUGUAANNNNNNNNNNGUAAUACGUAGGGCGCAAGCGUUGUCCGGAAUUAUUGGGCGUAAAGAGCUCGUAGGCGGUUUGUCGCGUCUGCUGUGAAAGCCCGGGGCUCAACCCCGGGUGUGCAGUGGGUACGGGCAGGCUGGAGUGCAGUAGGGGAGACUGGAAUUCCUGGUGUAGCGGUGAAAUGCGCAGAUAUCAGGAGGAACACCGAUGGCGAAGGCAGGUCUCUGGGCUGUUACUGACGCUGAGGAGCGAAAGCAUGGGGAGCGAACAGGAUUAGAUACCCUGGUAGUCCAUGCCGUAAACGUUGGGCACUAGGUGUGGGGGACAUUCCACGUUUUCCGCGCCGUAGCUAACGCAUUAAGUGCCCCGCCUGGGGAGUACGGCCGCAAGGCUAAAACUCAAAGGAAUUGACGGGGGCCCGCACAAGCGGCGGAGCAUGCGGAUUAAUUCGAUGCAACGCGAAGAACCUUACCAAGGCUUGACAUACACCGGAUCGCAGCAGAGAUGUUGUUUCCCUUCGGGGCUGGUGUACAGGUGGUGCAUGGUUGUCGUCAGCUCGUGUCGUGAGAUGUUGGGUUAAGUCCCGCAACGAGCGCAACCCUCGUUCUAUGUUGCCAGCACGUUGUGGUGGGGACUCAUAGGAGACUGCCGGGGUCAACUCGGAGGAAGGUGGGGAUGACGUCAAAUCAUCAUGCCCCUUAUGUCUUGGGCUUCACGCAUGCUACAAUGGCCGGUACAAUGGGUUGCGAUACUGUGAGGUGGAGCUAAUCCCAAAAAGCCGGUCUCAGUUCGGAUUGGGGUCUGCAACUCGACCCCAUGAAGUCGGAGUCGCUAGUAAUCGCAGAUCAGCAACGCUGCGGUGAAUACGUUCCCGGGCCUUGUACACACCGCCCGUCAAGUCACGAAAGUUGGUAACACCCGAAGCCGAUGGCCCAACCCUUGUGGGGGGAGUCGUCGAAGGUGGGACUGGCGAUUGGGACUAAGUCGUAACAAGGUAGCCGUACCGGAAGGUGCGGCUGGAUCACCUCCUUUCUAAGGA
RNAcentral lists this ribosomal RNA (1471 nucleotides) under Rothia koreensis. RNAcentral describes it as "bacterial SSU rRNA". It matches the Rfam family "Bacterial small subunit ribosomal RNA". Lineage: Bacteria; Bacillati; Actinomycetota; Actinomycetes; Micrococcales; Micrococcaceae. The record is from RNAcentral.